AACCCCGGGAAACCGGGGAUAAUACCGGAUAGAUCACCUAUGCUGGAAGGGCUUGGUGGUUUAAAGGCAACGCCUUUGGAUGGGUCUGCGGCGGAUUAGGUUGACGCCGGUGUAAUGUACCGGCGUGCCUGUAAUCCGUACGGGUUGUGGGAGCAAGAGCCCGGAGAUGGAUUCUGAGACACGAAUCCAGGCCCUACGGGGCGCAGCAGGCGCGAAAACUCUACAAUGCAGGAGACUGCGAUAGGGGGACAUCGAGUGGCAUCCACCUUGGGUGCCUGUCCAACCGUCUAAAAAACGGUUGUUAGCAAGGGCCGGGUAAGACCGGUGCCAGCCGCCGCGGUAAUACCGGCGGCUCGAGUGGUGGCCGAUAUUAUUGAGUCUAAAGGGUCCGUAGCCGGCUUUGCAAGUCCCCUGGGAAAUCCAGCGGCUUAACCGUUGGGCUUUCAUGGGAUACUACAUUGCUUGGGACUGGGAGAGGUAGGAGGUACUCGGGGGGUAGGGGUGAAAUCCUGUAAUCCUCCGGGGACCACCGGUGGCGAAGGCGUCCUACCAGAACAGGUCCGACGGUGAGGGACGAAAGCUAGGGGCACGAACCGGAUUAGAUACCCGGGUAGUCCUAGCCGUAAACGAUGCCCGCUAGGUGUCACGACAGUCGUGAAUUGUCGUGGUGCCGUAGGGAAGCCGCGAAGCGGGCCACUUGGGAAGUACGACCGCAAG
This 717-nucleotide ribosomal RNA is filed under the name uncultured archaeon ST1-2. Its description in RNAcentral is "bacterial SSU rRNA". It matches the Rfam family "Archaeal small subunit ribosomal RNA", at positions 128 to 847 of the family's 1478-position model. The record is from RNAcentral.